AUGUCUGAUUUGUCCACCCUCACUUUCCUGUGGAUGCUUAUUACCCAUGAAAACAUCAGCCAAAGGCUAAGUUCAACAGGACUAGAAAUGAGAAAUUGGAAGUCCCCUCUGCUGUGGUGGUGUGCUGUGGGGAAGAGAUGGAUUUGUAAGUCCCCGGGCGAGGUCCUGCCUCCCCAAGGCCACUACUUUGCGGAGGAGACUCUGGGUGAAGCUAUCAUCAUUACGUUUGACCAGGAGGCAAAACCUUCUACUGGGGACUUGAGGGAUAAGGAAAGAGCAUACAUUAAACUCAGAGUCACUGGACAUGGUGCAGUGAGAUUCACUUUGAAGUGAGGAUGGUGGACGACACAUCUCCGGCAACUCAGAGAAUCAUAUUGUCAAAGACUGGAUGUUCCAGUGAAUUCACUCAGGUUUCUCUUCGAAGGUCAGAGGAUUGCUGAUAAUCACAGUCCUAGGGAGCUGGGAAUGGAGGAAGAUGUGAUUGAAGUUUAUCAGGAACAAACAGAGGGUCAUUCAACAGUUUAGAUAUUAUUUUUAUCUUUUCUUCUUUCCCCCUUAAUCCUCUUUUAGUUUUAAAAAUAGUUCUUUUGUCAUGUGGCGUUCAGGAUGGAAUUGAAGACUGGCACCUCACCUCCUUAAGACAUCUGGUGAUGUGAAUUCUGGUGUCCAUUAGUCAUUAUCAUUUGUUUCCCUGGUGCUGAGUUUUGGUGAUGAAACCUCAGUGCCCUUCCUGUUGCCCUCUCCUUUUUAUGAAUUACGCGGGUACACUGAGGGGCCACCUUUUCCAGGACUGUGGGUCUUCAGGCUUAUGGUAAAUAAGACUCACCAAUGCAGUGUUCAUAAUGGCUUUCCGAUUGGCCCUGAAGUUCUGGCAACUUCAGGAAGUUACUUCCUUCCUGGACUUGUGGCUUUCGGUGGGAAAUGGAAGUUUCUCAGAGAACCGAGCUGUGGAAAAAUGGCCUUUCCUUCACUUAAAGCUGCUUUGAAAAUCUGAGGGUUUGGCCCCAAAGAAGAGGAAUAUCGGGCUGGAGUCAAGGUGGCAUAGAGACAGUGAGAAUAGGGACUAACUCCAAAGAUGGCUUCACUGAAGAUAAAUCAUUUUAAGAUUAAAGAAAAAUCUUGUCAGAAGAUCCCCAAAACUUGUGAUUUUCCUAGGUAGUUAAUAAAGUUAUUCAUGCAGAAGUGUCUAUAACAGAGCACUGCUCUUUUUUAUUUUAUUUGUACUUUUUGGCCUAGGCAUCUGGGUUUUAAAUGGACAUUGUCUAUACCAACUUCAUUAAAAUAAACAAAAUAUUCGUAAAAGCAAGCGAAUGAAUAAAAUUGAUAUUCCAAAAUGGUAAACUUGUUUGGCAAUAACCAACUAGAAAACAUAAUGGGGAAAGAGAUCCCAUUUGCAACAUGUCAUAGAGAUGUCUAUAAAAUUUCUUAGCAAAAUCUUUUCAAAAAUAUAUAGGAUUUAUAGGGGAGAAAAAAUGCAAAUUCUGACCUAUAUCUCAGGAAAAUUGAGAUUUAAAGCUUACAUAUCGACAAAGAGUGGGAGUGAUGUUGUUUCCAAUGGGGAGAAAAUUGGUUCUUAUUGGAAAAAAAAAUCUAAAGCAAUAUCCUGUAUGUGGUAUUAAAAAUUCACUGGGAAGGAGGCAAUUAGGAUAAAAAUGUCUUAAAAGGCUCCAAGGGGAACAAUAAUGAAAGAAAUCUUGAGAAACACCGAUAUAAGGAAAACUGUAAUAGAAAUGUAUGUUUUUUCUUAUAUGGAAAACUGGAAAUUGUAAAAAUAGCGACUCUUAAAAUUAUAGUUUUAAUGGAAUUCCAAUAAAAAUAUGAAUGGGCUCGGGCACCUGGGUGGCUCAGUUGGUUAAGCCACUGCCUUCGGCUCAGGUCAUGAUCCUGGAGUCCCUGGAUUGAGUCCCGCAUCGGGCUCCCUGCUCGGCAGGGAGUCUGCUUCUCCCUCUGACCCUCCCCCUUCUCAUGUGCUCUCUCUCUCUCAUUCUCUCUCUCUCAAAUAAAUAAAAUCUUUAAAAAAAUAUAUGAAUGGGCUCAAAAGUUGGCAGGUGGUUCUUAAAAUUCACCCAGAAGAUUAAAAUGAUGAGAUUAUUAAAAUAACAUUGGGAAGAAGAGCUCUAAAUGAUACUAACAUUUACCCUAAAACUGUUAGGUACUGUUGGCAUCAGUAUACACAUUCAGAUCAACCAAGAAAGUCCCAAAUAAAUAAUUUAUUUUCUAAUAAAAGUGGAAUUAUUAUUCAAUAAGCAGUUCUGAAAUGAUCCAUCAGCUAUUUAGAUAAAAGCCUUAGGUUCAAUCUCUCCCUCCUACCAUACUCAAUUAUAUUCUAGACAGAGUAAAGAACUCAAACAGUCAAAACAACAAAACAAUGAAAACAUUUUAUAUAUCUCAAGGAAAAUGUAUAUAGAUAUUUUCCUGAUUUGGUGGUAGAGCUUUUAGAAAAAAAUUGUGAGAACAGAGAAAACAGAAAUUUGACCAAGUAAAAAAUAAAAACAUCUACACCAAAGAAUUUCCAUAAACAAAAAUAGAAGGAAAGUAGUGAACUCUGAACAGUAUUUGGAAUAUCAUACGUGGAAACUUCCACAUAUGAUAAAGAGUUAAUAUCAUGGAUGAAUAAAGAGCUCCUACGCAGCAGUGAGAUUUAUAUGAGAAUCAAUUAAGUAAUAGACAGUAAACAUAACAACAAGUUCUUAAAGGCAAAUUAAUACUAAACUUAUAAAAGACACGUUCAUUCAUCAUGAUUUCAAGAAAUGCAGAUGAAUAGGGGCGCCUGGGUGGCUCAGUCCUUAAGCGUCUGCCUUCGGCUCAGGUCAUGAUCCGAGGGUCCUGGGAUCGAGCCCCGCAUCGGGCUCCCUGCUCCACAGGAAGCCUGCUUCUCCCUCUCCCACUCCCCCUCUUUGUGUUCCCUCUCUCGCUGUGUCUCUCUCUGUCAAAUAAAUAAAUAAAAUCUUAAAAAAAAAAAAAAGAAAUGCAGAUGAAUAUUUAAAUGGAAUUUUUUCUUCUCUUAUUGGGCAAUGACCAAAAAUAUUUGAAAUCUGGGGGUUUGGGAGGUAAAAGUCACUCAUCUACACUGCUGGACAAAGUGUAGAUACGUACAGUCUCACUUGGGGGAGGGGGUCUGGCUUUUUAAAUCCGUACUUCCAGAUUCAAAGAAGUGCUUCAGGAUAUAUACGAUAUUAAUGUACAAGAAUGGUCGUUAGAAUAUUAAUCCUAAUCGUGAAAAAAUUAGAAACCAAUUGUGUUUAGCAAUUGGAAAAGCAUCAGUCAUAGUGUGUUAUGGAAUACUAAACAGCCAUGAAACAGACUAUUUUGGAAGGCUGAUCACGUGAGCUGGAAUUCCCAGUAUACAAUAUUUACAAAUAAUAGACAAUAACACUCCAUUUUUAAAAUUGCAUGUGAAAAAAAUUGCAUGUGUACACAGAGAAGAUGAGGAAUAAGAUGCACGAAGUUACUAAUCAUGGUUAUCUCCAAGUAGGGGGCUUAAGGGCAACUUUUCUUUUUCUUUGUACUUUUCUAUAAUUUAAAAUUUUUAUUCAAUGGCCAUUUAUUAAUCUAGAUAAAUCAGAUAAAAGUCGAUUGCUAUGAUUAAAACUACAUUGCU
RNA transcript from Mirounga angustirostris (Northern elephant seal), 3601 nucleotides. It is a transcript of the gene named small ubiquitin-related modifier 1-like, with no coding region annotated. The record is from RefSeq and is a predicted model, not a curated record. The transcript is spliced from 2 exons. Lineage: Eukaryota; Metazoa; Chordata; Mammalia; Carnivora; Phocidae.